Triticum dicoccoides is the source of this 919-nucleotide long non-coding RNA. RefSeq lists it as uncharacterized. NCBI's taxonomy places the organism in Eukaryota, Viridiplantae, Streptophyta, Magnoliopsida, Poales, Poaceae. The transcript is spliced from 3 exons. The record is from RefSeq and is a predicted model, not a curated record.
GAGUCUACUACUGAAAGUGAACCUCUUGAGGUGAUGAUGAAAGAUCAGUUUGCAAACUAUGUGGCGCAGAAGGUGUUGGAGACUUGUGAUGACCAGCAGAGAGAGAUGAUCCUUACAAGGAUCAAAGCUCACCUGAACACACUGAAGAAGUACACCUAUGGGAAGCACAUAGUCGUGCGUGUAGAGAAGCUAGUUGCUGCUGGAGAGAAGCGCCAGGGGCUUCAACCAGCAUGCACCGCCGCCUGAAGGGUGGAACUAUGCAGUUGUACAGCUAACAGUGGCUAGGUUUGCGCUCGCGUGUUCCCCCCAACAACUGAAAACCCUAUAAGAUUGACUAGUAAUGGUACCGGCAUGAAUAAGAUACAAAUCUUGGUUGCACUGGAGAGAGUGUACAUUCUGUAGCUGAGGAGGCAAAGACUAAUCUGAGAGACUAAGCUGUAAAGAAGAGGAAGAGGGUGGAGUAUGUUUGAACAUGUUACUCUGCUCACUGUACAAAUUUAGCACUAGAGAAGAGAAGAGAGUGAGAAAGCUGUUAGCUGUCGUAAAAAUGUCCGAGUUGAGAGCCGCUGCGACUACUUUUUUAGUUAUCCUGUUGUGUGUCUCGUGUCGAUAGAAGCAAACAAACCAUGAUGAUGGCUUGCUGUUGUUGUAAGAUAAAACUCUUUUCCGCAGUUUAAGCUGAAGUUAUUAGUAUCAGCUUUGCUGAACUGUUGAACAGUUUGGUGUAUUAAUGGAGUGUGUCCGUCUGUAAUCUAAUCCAGGAUGAUGAAAUGCAUGACUCAGUAGUUUAUGUUCCUACAAGUUUUUCUUUCACCCAGAUUCUUGGUGUUUGGUAUUUACUGCCAAGCGUAGCUCAGAUUUGUAGGAUCUGAAGAACACUGGUGUGCUGUAAUGCUAGUUUUAUCAUCAAGUUUGAUUA